This is a long non-coding RNA of Peromyscus eremicus (cactus mouse), 1567 nucleotides long. RefSeq lists it as uncharacterized. NCBI's taxonomy places the organism in Eukaryota, Metazoa, Chordata, Mammalia, Rodentia, Cricetidae. The record is from RefSeq and is a predicted model, not a curated record. The transcript has 3 exons.
AGUGCAUGCCAUCACAGCAGGACCUGACUGACACCCACCUCCUGGCUUUCGGUCCCUAAGGCUGCUCUGCUCUUGUGGAGCACUACCGGUCUGGGCUGACCAUUCCCUUCAGCAAUGCCCCCUACCAAACUUAGACUAGGUUGGAACCCUCCUAAAGGAAACAGAUGUAGCUACUUCCAAUGCUCUCCCUAGAAGGGACAGGGCCACCUCCUUAGGCCACAUCUUCAUGACUGGCCACCAUUUCUCCAUAGGGCAGAGGGCUACGUGCUGGCCUGCUUGGUGUCAGGGCCACAUGGGUACACACUUGCCACCAGAACAGCUAACUACACCACUGCCCUGUCCCAGCAAGCUCAAACUCGGCAUGGGACAGCAUGAAGGAAAAGCAGCAAGGUUAGAGGAGUGGGCAAGGCCACCCACGGCAGACAGCGGCUCGGUCAGCCUGGCUGGCCUUCCAGAAGCUGCUUGUCAAGGUGGAAUGGCAGAAGAGGACAAAAUGAGAUGCACCACCAAAUCCCAGGUGGCUGCCUGGUCCUCAUCUUUGAGGGGCAGCACUCUUCCGUUAGCCCCUGAUAGGUAGCUCUUAGGGUUCCUACUAUCUAGGAGACAAGCAGAAACCACCAUGGAAGCUGCCUACUCCCACUCCUGUCCUGUUCUGAGCCUACAACCUGCAUCAAGGUGUACGAUAGGCUGAGGACGUUAGCCAGUCUGUACCCAGACUGGGCAUACCUGAACGCCAUCACUUCCCUGGAGGACACUCAUAUGCAAACCUGCAGUUGUCCAGGAAAAAUAGUCUGGGAACAUGCAGCAGUGAACUUCUCAAACCCCUACAAGCACGGGUUUGCCAAUACCCACAUCCCUACAACAGGGUUGCCCUUUCUUUCUCUUGAGGUUUAAUCUGGACAAGAGCAGAAACACAUGCCAAAGAGACUGAAGUACCAGAAAGGAAAGCCAACUUCUGGGGAUGCAGGCUCAGACACAUCAAAGGGCCUAGAAAGAAAUGGCCUAAGCAGCCCUUGCCCUGCUCUCGGAUAUAGGCUGGAGUCUAGAAUGCAAGACUGGCCACCAGAGGUGAGCUGUCAAGACCCUUUGCGUGAGAGACAAUGCCUGAGCUCUGGAGAGCCCUGGAAGAAGGCCACUCAUGUGGCAGACAGGCCCGAUAGGUCCUAGGUCCUGAGAUAUGUUCAACAGCUGGGCACGGCCAUGUAGUCCAGCACCCAGCCCUCACCCCACUCCCAAGGAAUUUGCCAAAAGAGCUUACUGGCCAGCUGCAGCCUCCGAGGGCCAGCCUCCAUCUGCUCUGCAAACAGGUGUUAUGACUCUCAUAGCUUCUACUCGUUUAGAUCAGGCAGCGGCUCCCGCCAGUGACACUUCUGGCUUGGGGGCUGGACCCUGAGAAGCUGAGAAUUGGUAUGUCACAGCGGUGCCCCACCACAGGAGCACACAUCUGAAGGUUUCCGCGUGCCAGGAACGAUAGGGAAAAUCUCCCUAGGAGCUGGCUUUCUGAGCCCUAAGCCCCGUAUCUUCUGUCCUCUGGACACUCCGAAAUAGCAUGUCACUCCAUCAGUCA